RNAcentral lists this ribosomal RNA (254 nucleotides) under uncultured bacterium. Its description in RNAcentral is "partial 16S ribosomal RNA". It matches the Rfam family "Bacterial small subunit ribosomal RNA", at positions 524 to 776 of the family's 1533-position model. The record is from RNAcentral.
UACGGGGGGAGCAAGCGUUGUUCGGAUUUACUGGGCGUAAAGGGCGCGUAGGCGGCCAGCACAAGUCAGUUGUGAAAUCUCCGGGCCUAACUCGGAAAGGUCAACUGAUACUGUGCGGCUAGAGUGCAGAAGGGGCAACUGGAAUUCUCGGUGUAGCGGUGAAAUGCGUAGAUAUCGAGAGGAACACCUGCGGCGAAGGCGGGUUGCUGGGCUGACACUGACGCUGAUGCGCGAAAGCGUGGGGAGCGAACCGG